GCUGAAAUUCGCCUUCAUGAAGCUGGAAUUGCUAGUAAUGGCAGGUCAGCAUACUGCCGUGAAUACGUUCCCGGGCCUUGUACACACCGCCCGUCACACCAUGAGAGUUGGAAAUACCCGAAGCCUGUGAGCUAACUUUUAGAGGCAGCAGUCGAAGGUAGAGCCAAUGAUUGGGGUGAAGUCGUAACAAGGUAUC
Molecule: ribosomal RNA, 196 nt
Filed under: uncultured bacterium
Lineage: Bacteria
Description: partial 16S ribosomal RNA
Rfam family: Bacterial small subunit ribosomal RNA
Source: RNAcentral